Paramuricea clavata is the source of this 561-nucleotide non-coding RNA. Lineage: Eukaryota; Metazoa; Cnidaria; Anthozoa; Malacalcyonacea; Plexauridae. The record is from the annotation of a GenBank genome assembly.
GACUGAUUGACAAGCGUUGCUGUGUUUACUUACAUGUUAAUGCAUUUUUUAGUAUUACUGCAUUCCUUUAAUAUGAAAGCCAUUUCUAUUUUCUAGACACGCACCUCGCAAGGAAGCUUUAUUGACUAUAUACUAAAACAAAUUGUUUUGAGUUCAGUUCACAUAGCAGUCUCUUAAUUCGAGCAACAGUUUAAUAACUAUUAUUUUUAACACUUGAAUAAUUCAAACUUAUAUAUGGCGAACGAAAACUGCAAACUAUAUAAAUAAAGCGGGCCAAUUUUCGACUCAUUCUCAACAUGCAGGAUACGCUGUUACAGCGAGUUAGUUUUUGGUGGCCAUGCAUGCAAAAGUGGGCCGCUUAUUUUGCUUACAAGUUACGUGGACGUAUAAUUAUUGCUGUUACAUAAACGUUCCGGUGUUCAAAAGCUGCGUAUAUAUAGCCGAUAAAAAUUGCGUGCUCAUUAUAAUCGCCGAUCACAUGGCUUUAUCACAGUCUCAAACCUUCAGACAAACAUAUCCACAUUCCUCUCCCCCCCUUCGGACAUCCUAAGACAUUUUUCC